AACGCAGAGGUGGGAGACAGAGUGGGUGGGGAGGGGAGCCGCCAUACAGUGGCCAAGACCAGCUUUGCCCAAGUGGUGGCAACCGCAUGACCACAGGAACGAUGGCGUGAGCCCCAUGGCAACCUGGAGGAAGGGCCAAGCCACUGGUGAAUAUGCUGCAAAAAAUAUGCUGGAACUUCUGUGAAUACCACAGGGUGUGAGAAGAAAACAUUAGAACUUCUAUUUUGUACCUGUGUUACUUCACAACAAGAAAGAAAUCAGCUUGAUCAAUGCCUACUGUAAAGACGGCACCGCCCUCCGGAGGCCCUCUCUCAGCCCUGGUGCUGGGACAGCCGCAUCCCCUCGCGGCAGGGGGAGGCCUGAAGCAUAGAGGGGCCCACACAGGUCUAUUCUGUUUCAGUGAAUUGCCUGGGAAAUAAUCCAGGAUCCAUUUUGUGUGGUCAUCUUGUCUCCCUGGUCCCCUCCAGCCUUUCCUCAUCUUUUGUGACCUGGUCACUCUGGAAGGGCGCUGGCCUGUUAGUCCACAGGAUGGGCCUCCCCUGGGGCUUUUCUGAUGCUUCCUUAUGAUGGCACUGGCAUCCUGA
Molecule: long non-coding RNA, 584 nt
Filed under: Pongo abelii (Sumatran orangutan)
Lineage: Eukaryota; Metazoa; Chordata; Mammalia; Primates; Hominidae
Description: lincRNA
Source: RNAcentral